UGUUGUCUUCUCUGCCAACAACUCCUUCGCCCAAGAUGAGGUUAAUAAUUAUCGGGCACCAAGUGAAGGUGAUGAUGCUGGUGGUAGGCCAUGGCCAUGCUGCAAUGAGUGCGGUGCAUGCACCAAGCCUGUACCGCCACUAUGCCAAUGCCUUGAUCUAGUGAAGGCCUGCCAUCCAAAGUGCAAAAAAUGCGUGCGGUCGCCCAUCCCGAUCUUCCCGCCACUGUACCAGUGCAAGGACGUGGUCGCCAACUUUUGCAAGCACAAGUGCAACCCCAAGCCACUCAACGACGCGUAGCAGCACUGCCGAGUCGCCUACCGUUGCGUGCAUCCCUGCAUAUCUAUUUCUAUCUACGCAAAUAAACUUGUUGCCUUGAGUUGGGUUAUAAUUCGGUCAGUGUGGUGUGCUUCCUGUACUUUAAGAUGUGUGCUGUACCAUGUUUUCGAUCUAUUAAAUAAUGAUCAGCUCUCGGGGCUUUAAUUUGGAA
Elaeis guineensis (African oil palm) is the source of this 488-nucleotide non-coding RNA. NCBI's taxonomy places the organism in Eukaryota, Viridiplantae, Streptophyta, Magnoliopsida, Arecales, Arecaceae. The record is from RefSeq and is a predicted model, not a curated record.